This 427-nucleotide ribosomal RNA is filed under the name uncultured bacterium. RNAcentral describes it as "bacterial SSU rRNA". It matches the Rfam family "Bacterial small subunit ribosomal RNA", at positions 355 to 774 of the family's 1533-position model. The record is from RNAcentral.
UUAGGAAUAUUCGUCAAUGGGGGAAACCCUGAACGAGCAAUGCCGCGUGAGUGAUGAAGGCCCUUCGGGUCGUAAAACUCUGUUGUGAAGGAAGAACACCUACCAUAGGUAAUGGUGGUAGGCUGACGGUACUUCGCCAGAAAGCUCCGGCUAACUACGUGCCUGCAGCCGCGGUAAUACGUAGGGAGCGAGCGUUAUCCGGAUUUAUUGGGCGUAAAGCGUGUGUAGGCGGUUUAUUAAGCCUAAGAUUAAAGCCCGAGGCUUAACCUCGGUUCGUUUUAGAAACUGGUAGACUUGAGUGUGGUAGAGGUAAGUGGAAUUUCUAGUGUAGCGGUUAAAUGCGUAGAUAUUAGAAGGAACACCAGUGGCGAAGGCGGCUUACUGGGCCAUUACUGACGCUGAGACACGAAAGCGUGGGGAGCAAAUA